This 273-nucleotide long non-coding RNA is filed under the name Bos taurus (domestic cattle). RNAcentral describes it as "long non-coding RNA NONBTAT014837". Lineage: Eukaryota; Metazoa; Chordata; Mammalia; Artiodactyla; Bovidae. The record is from RNAcentral.
AUCAUGCCGGAGUGUCACAACUGCACUAAAGACAAAUAGCCCUGGAGGCUAUUGCCACUGUGACGCUUUUGAGUUAUGAAGAAGGGUAACAGCCCGAUGGGAGGCUCUUUGCGUCCUCAUUAUAGCCAGGGGUUACUAGUGCAGGGCACCGGAGAAGCCAGGCCAGUGUGCUGCUCGGGUAUUAAUCUGUCCCUUUCAGACCUAACAGCUGUAGCGAAACCGAAGGGGACUUGGCCUCCCUUUUAGAGACCCAGGCAAACAAAGGGGAGGGGA